CGCAGUAUUUUAACUGUGCUAAGGUAGCAUAAUCAAUGAGUCUUAUAAUUGAAGACUGGAAUGAAUGAUCGGACAAGGGACUAUCUGUCUCUUUUUAAUAAUAUAGAAUUUUACUUUUAAGUGAAAAGGCUUAAAUAAGUUAAUGGGAAGACAAGACCCUAUAAAACUUUACAAAAUACAUUAAUAAGUAAUAUGGUGGUAUAAAGUUAUAUUAAUUUAUUUUUGUUGAGCUGGGGCGGUUUUUAUAAAAUAAAUUAACUGUAAGUUAAAUUCAAAUAUAAAUAUAUAGGUUGAUAAGAUCCUUAUAAGUAGAGAUUAUAAGAUUAAGUUACUUUAGGGAUAACAGCAUAAUUUUCCUUGAGAGUUCUUAUCGACAGGAGUAGUUGUGACCUCGAUGUUGAAUUAAAGUUUCCUUUUAAGCCGAAGAAG
Molecule: ribosomal RNA, 429 nt
Filed under: Neocrangon sagamiensis
Lineage: Eukaryota; Metazoa; Arthropoda; Malacostraca; Decapoda; Crangonidae
Description: partial 16S ribosomal RNA
Rfam family: Bacterial large subunit ribosomal RNA
Source: RNAcentral